RNAcentral lists this ribosomal RNA (2924 nucleotides) under Escherichia coli. RNAcentral's name for it is "23S ribosomal RNA". It matches the Rfam family "Bacterial large subunit ribosomal RNA". Lineage: Bacteria; Pseudomonadati; Pseudomonadota; Gammaproteobacteria; Enterobacterales; Enterobacteriaceae. The record is from RNAcentral.
GGGUUGUGAGGUUAAGCGACUAAGCGUACACGGUGGAUGCCCUGGCAGUCAGAGGCGAUGAAGGACGUGCUAAUCUGCGAUAAGCGUCGGUAAGGUGAUAUGAACCGUUAUAACCGGCGAUUUCCGAAUGGGGAAACCCAGUGUGAUUCGUCACACUAUCAUUAACUGAAUCCAUAGGUUAAUGAGGCGAACCGGGGGAACUGAAACAUCUAAGUACCCCGAGGAAAAGAAAUCAACCGAGAUUCCCCCAGUAGCGGCGAGCGAACGGGGAGCAGCCCAGAGCCUGAAUCAGUGUGUGUGUUAGUGGAAGCGUCUGGAAAGGCGCGCGAUACAGGGUGACAGCCCCGUACACAAAAAUGCACAUACUGUGAGCUCGAUGAGUAGGGCGGGACACGUGGUAUCCUGUCUGAAUAUGGGGGGACCAUCCUCCAAGGCUAAAUACUCCUGACUGACCGAUAGUGAACCAGUACCGUGAGGGAAAGGCGAAAAGAACCCCGGUGAGGGGAGUGAAAAAGAACCUGAAACCGUGUACGUACAAGCAGUGGGAGCCUCUUUAUGGGGUGACUGCGUACCUUUUGUAUAAUGGGUCAGCGACUUAUAUUCUGUAGCAAGGUUAACCGAAUAGGGGAGCCGAAGGGAAACCGAGUCUUAACUGGGCGUUAAGUUGCAGGGUAUAGACCCGAAACCCGGUGAUCUAGCCAUGGGCAGGUUGAAGGUUGGGUAACACUAACUGGAGGACCGAACCGACUAAUGUUGAAAAAUUAGCGGAUGACUUGUGGCUGGGGGUGAAAGGCCAAUCAAACCGGGAGAUAGCUGGUUCUCCCCGAAAGCUAUUUAGGUAGCGCCUCGUGAAUUCAUCUCCGGGGGUAGAGCACUGUUUCGGCAAGGGGGUCAUCCCGACUUACCAACCCGAUGCAAACUGCGAAUACCGGAGAAUGUUAUCACGGGAGACACACGGCGGGUGCUAACGUCCGUCGUGAAGAGGGAAACAACCCAGACCGCCAGCUAAGGUCCCAAAGUCAUGGUUAAGUGGGAAACGAUGUGGGAAGGCCCAGACAGCCAGGAUGUUGGCUUAGAAGCAGCCAUCAUUUAAAGAAAGCGUAAUAGCUCACUGGUCGAGUCGGCCUGCGCGGAAGAUGUAACGGGGCUAAACCAUGCACCGAAGCUGCGGCAGCGACACUAUGUGUUGUUGGGUAGGGGAGCGUUCUGUAAGCCUGCGAAGGUGUACUGUGAGGUAUGCUGGAGGUAUCAGAAGUGCGAAUGCUGACAUAAGUAACGAUAAAGCGGGUGAAAAGCCCGCUCGCCGGAAGACCAAGGGUUCCUGUCCAACGUUAAUCGGGGCAGGGUGAGUCGACCCCUAAGGCGAGGCCGAAAGGCGUAGUCGAUGGGAAACAGGUUAAUAUUCCUGUACUUGGUGUUACUGCGAAGGGGGGACGGAGAAGGCUAUGUUGGCCGGGCGACGGUUGUCCCGGUUUAAGCGUGUAGGCUGAUUUUCCAGGCAAAUCCGGAAAAUCAAGGCUGAGGCGUGAUGACGAGGCACUACGGUGCUGAAGCAACAAAUGCCCUGCUUCCAGGAAAAGCCUCUAAGCAUCAGGUAACAUCAAAUCGUACCCCAAACCGACACAGGUGGUCAGGUAGAGAAUACCAAGGCGCUUGAGAGAACUCGGGUGAAGGAACUAGGCAAAAUGGUGCCGUAACUUCGGGAGAAGGCACGCUGAUAUGUAGGUGAAGUCCCUCGCGGAUGGAGCUGAAAUCAGUCGAAGAUACCAGCUGGCUGCAACUGUUUAUUAAAAACACAGCACUGUGCAAACACGAAAGUGGACGUAUACGGUGUGACGCCUGCCCGGUGCCGGAAGGUUAAUUGAUGGGGUUAGCGGUAACGCGAAGCUCUUGAUCGAAGCCCCGGUAAACGGCGGCCGUAACUAUAACGGUCCUAAGGUAGCGAAAUUCCUUGUCGGGUAAGUUCCGACCUGCACGAAUGGCGUAAUGAUGGCCAGGCUGUCUCCACCCGAGACUCAGUGAAAUUGAACUCGCUGUGAAGAUGCAGUGUACCCGCGGCAAGACGGAAAGACCCCGUGAACCUUUACUAUAGCUUGACACUGAACAUUGAGCCUUGAUGUGUAGGAUAGGUGGGAGGCUUUGAAGUGUGGACGCCAGUCUGCAUGGAGCCGGCCUUGAAAUACCACCCUUUAAUGUUUGAUGUUCUAACGUUGGCCCCUGAUCGGGGUUGCGGACAGUGUCUGGUGGGUAGUUUGACUGGGGCGGUCUCCUCCUAAAGAGUAACGGAGGAGCACGAAGGUUGGCUAAUCCUGGUCGGACAUCAGGAGGUUAGUGCAAUGGCAUAAGCCAGCUUGACUGCGAGCGUGACGGCGCGAGCAGGUGCGAAAGCAGGUCAUAGUGAUCCGGUGGUUCUGAAUGGAAGGGCCAUCGCUCAACGGAUAAAAGGUACUCCGGGGAUAACAGGCUGAUACCGCCCAAGAGUUCAUAUCGACGGCGGUGUUUGGCACCUCGAUGUCGGCUCAUCACAUCCUGGGGCUGAAGUAGGUCCCAAGGGUAUGGCUGUUCGCCAUUUAAAGUGGUACGCGAGCUGGGUUUAGAACGUCGUGAGACAGUUCGGUCCCUAUCUGCCGUGGGCGCUGGAGAACUGAGGGGGCUGCUCCUAGUACGAGAGGACCGGAGUGGACGCAUCACUGGUGUUCGGGUUGUCAUGCCAAUGGCACUGCCCGGUAGCUAAAUGCGGAAGAGAUAAGUGCUGAAAGCAUCUAAGCACGAAACUUGCCCCGAGAUGAGUUCUCCCUGACUCCUUGAGAGUCCUGAAGGAACGUUGAAGACGACGACGUUGAUAGGCCGGGUGUGUAAGCGCAGCGAUGCGUUGAGCUAACCGGUACUAAUGAACCGUGAGGCUUAACCUUACAACGCCGAAG